RNAcentral lists this ribosomal RNA (1335 nucleotides) under uncultured bacterium. RNAcentral's name for it is "bacterial SSU rRNA". It matches the Rfam family "Bacterial small subunit ribosomal RNA", at positions 28 to 1381 of the family's 1533-position model. The record is from RNAcentral.
GACGAACGCUGGCGGCGCGCCUAACACAUGCAAGUCGAACGAGAGAUGAGGAGCUUGCUCUUCAAAUCGAGUGGCGAACGGGUGAGUAACGCGUGAGGAACCUGCCUCAAAGAGGGGGACAACAGUUGGAAACGACUGCUAAUACCGCAUAAGCCCACGGCUCGGCAUCGAGCAGGGGGGAAAGGAGCAAUCCGCUUUGAGAUGGCCUCGCGUCCGAUUAGCUAGUUGGUGAGGUAACGGCCCACCAAGGCGACGAUCGGUAGCCGGACUGAGAGGUUGAACGGCCACAUUGGGACUGAGACACGGCCCAGACUCCUACGGGAGGCAGCAGUGGGGAAUAUUGCACAAUGGGGGAAACCCUGAUGCAGCGACGCCGCGUGGAGGAAGAAGGUCUUCGGAUUGUAAACUCCUGUUGUUGAGGAAGAUAAUGACGGUACUCAACAAGGAAGUGACGGCUAACUACGUGCCAGCAGCCGCGGUAAAACGUAGGUCACAAGCGUUGUCCGGAAUUACUGGGUGUAAAGGGAGCGCAGGCGGGAGAACAAGUUGGAAGUGAAAUCCAUGGGCUCAACCCAUGAACUGCUUUCAAAACUGUUUUUCUUGAGUAGUGCAUAGGUAGGCGGAAUUCGUGGUGUAGCGGUGAAAUGCUUAGAUAUCACGAAGAACUCCGAUUGCGAAGGCAGCUUACUGGACUGUAACUGACGCUGAUGCUCGAAAGUGUGGGUAUCAAACAGGAUUAGAUACCCUGGUAGUCCACACAGUAAACGAUGAAUACUCGCUGUUGGCGAUACACAGUCAGCGGCCAAGCGAAAGCAUUAAGUAUUCCACCUGGGGAGUACGCCGGCAACGGUGAAACUCAAAGGAAUUGACGGGGGCCCGCACAAGCGGAGGAACAUGUGGUUUAAUUCGAUGAUACGCGAGGAACCUUACCCGGGCUUAAAUUGCAGUGGAAUGUAGUGGAAACAUUACAGCCUUCGGGCCGCUGUGAAGGUGCUGCAUGGUUGUCGUCAGCUCGUGCCGUGAGGUGUCGGCUUAAGUGCCAUAACGAGCGCAACCCUUAUCUAUAGUUACUAUCAGGUCAUGCUGAGGACUCUAUGGAGACUGCCGUCGUAAGAUGUGAGGAAGGUGGGGAUGACGUCAAAUCAGCACGGCCCUUACGUCCGGGGCUACACACGUGUUACAAUGGGGGGUACAGAAGGCAGCUACCUGGCGACAGGAUGCUAAUCCCUAAAACCUCUCUCAGUUCGGAUUGGAGUCUGCAACCCGGCUCCAUGAAGCUGGAUUCGCUAGUAAUCGCGCAUUCAGCCACGGCGCGGUAAUACGUUUCCCGGGCCC